CGCGCAAUGAACUUGAAGCGCAGAUGGCGUGACCGCGCUACUCUGAAACGCAGAUGGCGUGACUGCAGUUGAAGGAAAGCAACAGCAUGCUGCUCAGUGAUUCUUUUAAUCUUGUUUGUCACAUUUUCAUAUUGGUUGGAAGCCAAAUCGAAACCGAAACUAAAAUCUGAUUCGUACAGCUCCGCUGCUAACUCACGAUGAAUUUGAGUAGAUUUCCCCGCGAGCUCUUCAGGAGAACACAAGACAAGUCUUUCAGCGUUUUUCUUCCGAUUUAGAUUUAAAGGUGUUAUUGUUAAAAUGGCGACAGUAGCAGCAGGUAGACGUAGUCCAUUAUUUGAUCGUCCUGACAGCUCUGUGAGCUGAGCAGAGAGCAAGAUGAAGAUCCGGUGUGUGAUGCUGGCGUGUGCACUGACGCUGAGCUGCGUGUCCUCCGUCCCGAACCCAACCAGACACUCUCACCAUUCACAAACACACGCUCAGUGUUCUCAAAGACUACAGGACCUAGAGAGAAAACCAUACAGACAUCUGCCUGAUGCUCGUA
This is a long non-coding RNA of Cyprinus carpio carpio, 541 nucleotides long. The record is from Ensembl. NCBI's taxonomy places the organism in Eukaryota, Metazoa, Chordata, Actinopteri, Cypriniformes, Cyprinidae.